UAAAUGGUGUUUUUCAACACCACCCCAAAUGUUUUCGGAAAGAUGG
Molecule: non-coding RNA, 46 nt
Organism: Picea glauca (white spruce)
Lineage: Eukaryota; Viridiplantae; Streptophyta; Pinopsida; Pinales; Pinaceae
Source: Rfam